RNAcentral lists this ribosomal RNA (230 nucleotides) under uncultured bacterium. Its description in RNAcentral is "partial 16S ribosomal RNA". It matches the Rfam family "Bacterial small subunit ribosomal RNA", at positions 562 to 791 of the family's 1533-position model. The record is from RNAcentral.
AAAGCGUGCGCAGGCGGCUUUGCAAGACAGAGGUGAAAUCCCCGGGCUCAACCUGGGAACUGCCUUUGUGACUGCAAGGCUAGAGUACGGCAGAGGGAGAUGGAAUUCCGCGUGUAGCAGUGAAAUGCAUAGAUAUGCGGAGGAACACCGAUGGCGAAGGCAAUCUCCUGGGCCUGUACUGACGCUCAUGCACGAAAGCGUGGGGAGCAAACAGGAUUAGAUACCCUUGU